Molecule: ribosomal RNA, 465 nt
Filed under: uncultured Klebsiella sp.
Lineage: Bacteria; Pseudomonadati; Pseudomonadota; Gammaproteobacteria; Enterobacterales; Enterobacteriaceae
Description: bacterial SSU rRNA
Rfam family: Bacterial small subunit ribosomal RNA
Source: RNAcentral
CCUACGGGGGGCAGCAGUGGGGAAUAUUGCACAAUGGGCGCAAGCCUGAUGCAGCCAUGCCGCGUGUGUGAAGAAGGCCUUCGGGUUGUAAAGCACUUUCAGCGGGGAGGAAGGCGGUGAGGUUAAUAACCUCAUCGAUUGACGUUACCCGCAGAAGAAGCACCGGCUAACUCCGUGCCAGCAGCCGCGGUAAUACGGAGGGUGCAAGCGUUAAUCGGAAUUACUGGGCGUAAAGCGCACGCAGGCGGUCUGUCAAGUCGGAUGUGAAAUCCCCGGGCUCAACCUGGGAACUGCAUUCGAAACUGGCAGGCUAGAGUCCUGUAGAGGGGGGUAGAAUUCCAGGUGUAGCGGUGAAAUGCGUAGAGAUCUGGAGGAAUACCGGUGGCGAAGGCGGCCCCCUGGACAAAGACUGACGCUCAGGUGCGAAAGCGUGGGGAGCAAACAGGAUUAGAUACCCUUGUAGUC